This is a long non-coding RNA of Monomorium pharaonis (pharaoh ant), 9373 nucleotides long. RefSeq lists it as uncharacterized. NCBI's taxonomy places the organism in Eukaryota, Metazoa, Arthropoda, Insecta, Hymenoptera, Formicidae. The record is from RefSeq and is a predicted model, not a curated record. The transcript is spliced from 2 exons.
ACGAUUCUUUAUGGCAAACUUUCGUGGCUAGGUAUUUCAAGUUCCUUUCCUCAUUCGCCUCGGUCAGCGUCGCUUGCGUCGUAAAAACGGACAAGUAAUAAUUGCGCCACCCCGAAGUGUACGUGCUGUUGGACCAAACGGGGACAAUAUACUAAAGCAGAGGAGCAGAAAGGAGCCGUCGUUCCUCUCGCGAACAGAGUCUCGCGAAUAAAGUUUACCCAUUUGCAAGAAUGGAAACUUUUAUUACGCUGUUAUACGAAGACAUAUCAUUCUACGGAAAAUAGUUUUAAUGUCUUCUCUCGCACUUUCGGAAUUCCGUAGCGUUUCGCACCUCAACCCCGUAACUUACGUUGAUUUUUUUCUGAUAAUCAAAUGCAUUCAACGUAAUCAUCAAAAGUAAAUAUUCAACUAUUUCUAUAAGCGUUUAUUUAAUCAUACAAUUUUCUCCUUCCUUAUUUUCUAAGAAAGAUCAAAAUUAAUCACUCCAUAAAAUAAGAAAAAAAUUGCACAUUGUAAAAGAUGUAAAUAAUCCAUUUUUAAUAGAUUUGGAGAACUCGCGACACGAAAACGUGUAGAUGUGUAUACGCACAUUUCGAAUACUGGAGCAUUAGUUGGAGCAUUAGUGAGAGCAUUCUAAGUGUGGAGCAUAGCUGCCGAAAUAAAUGACCGGACGUCGCAGGCAGGCAUUCAUAAACUCGGCAGUGACUAGAGGAGUGCCCUGCUCUAGUGCCUUUCGGAAUUCCGAUUGAGGAGUCUGCGCGAAAGAAAAAGAGAGAAGGAAGGAGGCGGUGACGAUUCGAAGGGGAAAAUGAGGCACGGGGAAAAAGAGAGAAUAGACACGCGAGCGAGCGAAAGAGCACGAAGGCGGUGGAUGAAUCGGUCGUACAACCGUGAGGGGAGAAGCUUCUUUCACGUCAGGAUAGUGAGCGAUCGACCGAAUCGCAGGUGAGUGCCUGGACGACCGCGUAGGAUUAUUUAUAUAAACGCCGAGUCACCGGUUAUUAAUGAGAGGUACCGCCUCCCUCUGUUGGUGGCUAUCGAUGAGUUCCCUCAAACCAUCCCCAAAGCAAUGCCGGGCUUAUAUGUCGACGGGUCAGGUCACCGAAGGUGUCGAUCGAUCGAUAUUCUCCCGGAAGACGUCCUCCCGAAAUGGCGAGCGCGGUAAUAAUAGUAAUUAAAUUCUUGUUUGCGUCAAAGAUAACAUGUUUCAAACUUUCCAAAGUAUCACACAUACUUAAUAAUCUUUAUUACAAUAUUAUACAUUAUAAUAAAACGUGGAGAUAAUUUUUCGUUAUAUUUUGCCAUAAAAUUCGGCUACAAAUUUUACCAUGAUAAGCUUUAGACAACUUGGACAACCUGUCAAAAAUAUUAUGAAUAAGCAUUUUUUUAAAUAUACAAAACAUAAUAAACUACUUAAUAAAAAUUACCAUGUAAAAUAUUCUAAGACAAAUUAAUUGUAUUAUUCUAAGACAAUCAAUUCCUAAAAUAGUUAUGUUUGGUUUUUAUUUUUCUCUUUUAUUAUUUUUCUCAUAAUGUGAUAUGAAAUCAUCGUGAAGCUUAAUAUAUUUCUCUAUUAUUGAAAACAUCAAAGAUCAUAGAUCUUGAUGUGUCAAGAUCUUUUCAUAACAUAAUUUUAUUUUAAAUAAAUUGUCUAUUUCAUAAAUAUAAUUUUAUUUUUACUUUUUGUCCUUAAAUUGCUUUUAUUUUUAAAAUGUUUAAUUCUAAUUUUCUUAUUUUAUAAACUGUGUUGUUUAAUACAUAGAAAUAUAUUUAACUACAAAAUUGUCUAGUUCAUUAAUUUGUUUUACAAUUAAUUUCUCCAACAUACAUAUGCGGGAUUAUCUGAAUUCCGUCUACCAUAGUUAGUUCUAGAGUCUAACUUCCCAAACGUACAUUUUUUAUUAUGUUGCAAAAAUAUUAAUUGAUACAAAAUAUAGAACAGUCCUAUAAAAAAUGCUGUAUCUAAUAGAAGACACUUUCGUUUAUGUUUCUAAAAUUUUAUUUUUAGUUUUAAUUUAAAAAAUGUUAUCAAAAAAUAAAGUAAUAUGCCAGUUGUGGUGACUUUACUCCAUAAAAUAUGUAAAUGUCAAUAAAAAAAAUCACAUAAAAUUCUUCAGAAUACAAUGUUGUCCAUACAAUUACCAUGAUAUUCAAGACAAAAUUUUAUGAGAAAAUUCUCUUCGUAUUUAGAUAUAUGUAUUUAUGAAAUUAUUCCUAAUAAAAUACCUUGUUAUAUCAAUUUUUUUAAUGUACGUUGCGCGCGCGUAUUUCUAUACAGUCUACUUGUGCGAUGACAUCGCACGCAAAAAAACUGCACAGCUUUAGCGACUAUUAAAUAAAAACAAACUUUCUCAAAUUUUUGCUGACGCACAAUAACGGUGAAACGUACCGAAAUCAUCACGAUGAUGACAAUGCAUUUCCGCCGGCGUUUCACCAACAUUAGUCGCGUGUCAUCAGCCCUUUCCUAACUGUACCUAAUCGGUCUCACAUUUCGGAAGUUUUGUCAUAUAAAAGCCAGCGGUUGAGGUUUGAAAAUUCCUCUUGCCGCCCACGCUUCGUUUCUUUUGCUAUGCAUCCCAUUUAUUGCACGAGAUCGCCGAGAUCCGUCCCGAAAGAAACUGGCACACCUGCCAGUUGGCUUCCUCCCAGCCAUUGACGAGAUGAGAAAUAUGAAGGUCUCCAAGGAUGUAGCAGAACAGGGACACCUGGAUUUAGCGAUCGUUCUCAAUGAAAGAACCCUCGGCCGGAGGGAUGGAAACGAAAUGAAGGACCGAGUUAUUUCUGCCUUUUUUUUCAAAACCACCGAAGCAAGUAAUCUGUCUUGAGGGACUAACAGUGACUUUUAGCAAAAGCGACACUCUAUUCUUUAGAUAUUUUCCAAGGGUGACUCUCUUAUUUUCAAUGUAAUAAAUUUGACAAGUGCAAAUUUAUAUUAUAUGAAUAAUAUAAAUCGCCUUUAAAAUGUAGAUAUAUUUAAUUCGCUCAAUUUGAGUUUGAUUAAGAAAUCUUAUUCUUUCUAAUAAUUUAUGAAUUUUUACAAUAAACUUAUCUUUGCCAUAUCGGAAAGUAUAAUUGCAUAAUCAUAAUUUUCAUACACAUUUGUAUAAUCAUGAUUCCACCUAUUUCGCGAACCAACCCAACACUUUUCGGAGAUAGAUACACGACCACUAUUGGGCCGUAGAAGGGAGGUUAAAAAGGAAUCGUAGGGGUUUACAGUGGAGAUGGGGAACGCAGAACCAGGUGUCACGGGGCUGCUAUACAAAGAAGUGAUGGAUGUCUAGCAUGGCAACCCUCGUAACGUGUCAUGGCGUCGACACCUCAGGUGUCACUCUUGGUCCAUGCCUCGUUAUCUCGCCGAUAGGAAAAAAUAAAGCCGAUUCUUUUCCACCCCACAUAAAGCCGACAUAUCGCACGCGAAGAAGCGUCUUUCUAAUUUGCAUAUAUGCAAAUUAUGCGAUUAGACGCGUUUGUUCAAAGUAAAAAAAUAAAACUUAUAUAAAUAAUUGAGAAUCUAAGACUAAAACCGCAUUAUCUAAUCAAAUUUUCUUUUUCUCCUUUUAAGGUGCUACUUCACUCCCAUAAAGUUGAUAAUAUUCACUUUGUUAAUGCGGUUCCACAUCAUAGAAUUCGUAGGUAGCAUGAAAAUUGAAUGGUUGAAUUGUAUCCUCCAAAAGGAUCUGGUACUUAGGUCCCUGUUCUUAGGACCGGCGAGAGAAACACUCAAGAAUAAGAAUACUAGGUGCCGCCGAAUACACGCGCGCACGCGUGUUUCUUCGCACCUGGCAAAUCCAAAACAUCUCUCGAAGUAGGCUCUCGCUUUCGUUCUCUUACAUAGGACCUCUCAUGCCUUUGUCGAGCCACGCGCCUAAAGAAAUACAAAAAAAGAUUAAAACGGAUCUCUAAUCCUCCUACUGACACGGUGUGUAUUGAUAAAGCGACACAAUCGUAUUUAUAUCAUCGAUAAAUAAGAAUUAUAUCAAGAAUGAAUAAUCAUCAGAUUAUCAUCAAUAAAUAAUUAUUAUAAAAAUAUAAUAAAAUGUGACUGUGAUAAAUAGCCACAAAUAGAAAUAAUAAAAAUAUUAACAGACAUUUAAUAUUUUGUGUUUUUCUAACGUCGUAUUUUUUCCACAAGACAAGCGAGAUAUUAGUGCGAUAAAAUAAUGUUAAGGAAAUAAGACACCGUCGCGUAGAGGAUUACUUAUAUAUCUUAAUCUCGUGAUAUGAUACUCCAUCUCUAAGGAAGAAACGCGGUCAAGACGUUGGUGUCGACACCAACGACGCGCGCGUGAUUCGCGUAAGAAAAGAUUUUCUUCCUUCGCAUGGUCCGGUGACUUCUUUUUCGUUGGGAUAGGUCCUGUCGGGGGCACCUCAUUUCCUUUCGAGUUGUCGGUAGAGGUUCGGUUCUACAGUGCGACAAUUCUUCCUCUCCUGCACCCGACUUCUACCUACUGAGCCCGAGUCGACAAUGGAUCCGUUGGUCCACCGCGUAAAGAAAUCUAGCGCGGAGACGAGAAAUGUGAGAAACGAAGAGAGCGAAGGAAAGAGAGAAGUUUGUUAUAUUCUCUUAGGAAUAGUCACUCUAACAAUGAGAGAAAUAAGUAAUAAGAAAGUAAACCCUAAAAAAUGGAAGUUAUAACUGAUAACAAAAUCAUAAAUAUAAAUACUUCAGUUCCGAAAUUUAUUGCCAGUAUUGAAAAAUCUAUACACAACGUGGACUAUAGUUUUUUAAUACUAACAGUGCAUAUUAGAACACAGCCUUUAAUAAAUUAUGAAUAAUUUUAAAAAAUAUAUAAUUUAAUUAAUACGUCUGGCUAUAUGUGUGUCAUACAAAAACUUGAUCAUUUCUCCAAAACAUUAAGGAUCUAUCGUUUGAUUUGACCCAGAAUAUCAAGUAUAAAAUUUGACCUAAAGAGGCAGAAUAAGAAAAGCGACUGAAAGCGAAAAGGCAACAAAGGUAACGGCAGAAUUCUUUCCCAAAGUACCUCAAAAAACGCCAUUCAUACACCGCAGACCAAUAUUGCCAUUCAAAAACGACAACCCUGAAACUAGCUUGUUCCGAAUGACAUACAGAAGUGAUGAGCUAGAUUAUACUUUGCAAAGAUACAAGUCAAUAUUUUCUUGACUGUCGAGAACGUACCAUUGUAAUAUUUAUAAUAUAUAUAUAUUACAUAAAAUUCGUCACAUAGAAUGAUGGUUAUAUGUAUAAGGUAUCAUUAGGUGUUGUGCCUUAAAAAAUAGAAAACUCUCUUUCUUCUCUUUUUCCUCAUGUAUUUGCAAAUCAAGCAGAACAAAUAAAGACCUACGUAUACAAUUUGACUAUAUCGGCGUCACUGACUGAAAUAAUUGUAAUUCCAACGAAACUUGUCUGCCAUAUUAGAUUUAAACGCACGGCACGUCACAGAUCAAUUGUGCGUCGAGAUUAAAAAAGUAAAAAAGGCAUAAAUGACAGCAUCGAAUCCAAAAGGGAGAAUGAAAACGAGUUACUAGCAUAGGGAGUGAAUGAGAGUGACCUUGACAAAACAUCGCGGCCACGGAAUGAAGCCGUUGAGCCGCGAGAACAAAGAGAUUCUGUCGUCCUUUGUCAGACAAUGUCUCUAUCUCCGCCUGCUCAUCGUUCUCUUUCCCUUCAGACUUUUACUUCCUCCCCCUCCCCUUUUCUCUUUCACUUACUUUUAUCUAAGUCUGUUUGCCACUGUUCUGAUUAUUACGCCGCUUUCGUUCAACCGACUAUCACUGGUAUCGAAACACACAUCGUAUUGUGUCGCUAUUUAGGUAAUAAUCGAUAAAAGCCGGCAACGACCGGUAAGUUGGAGAAACUAAUUGUAAAUAUUUUAUAAUAAUUUUGCAUUAUUUUAAUAAUACAAAUAGUACAAUAAAUGCUAAUAAAUCCAUUUUAACGAGUUUUAAUUAAAUGGCAUAAUUAAGCGCAUUUUUAUCUAUAAAUUUUUGAAGUUAAAUAUUAAAAGGUGUUUUAGCCCUAAUGUAAAUAGUGUAAUACUUGUUAAAUCGAUUUGGCAUCGUCAAAAUAACUAACCUUUCGCCGUUAGUCUUAGGGGAGGGCGACCUUUAAAAUGGAGUUCACCACUGACCCCUUAAUAUCACUGGCUUUGCUCAUACAUUUUGAUGCAUCAUUUAAUUAAGUCAAAGUUCACGUAGGUUUAUAACGAAACAUGCCAAUAACCAAUCCGAUAAAAUGUCGAAAGCUCCGGCUGGCUAGUUUCCUCGCGACGCUUCUGCUCAGCAAUCUCACGGAAGAAGAGAAAAACGGAAAUGCUAAGGACGUGAAGACACGCCAGACCUGUCGAUAUCAGGAGGGCGACGUCCCUCCUACAACAACAUCGGAUGACAGGGAGGGAAACAAGAGAGAGGGGGUGGAGAGACGAUAGACGGGAAGAGAAAGAGAAAGAGAAAAGAGAGAGAGAGAAAGACAGAAAAAGAGAGAGAGAAAGAGAGAGAUAGGAAAGAGACGGGAGAGACAACAGAGUUGAACAAGUUGGAAAAACACUUAAGCGGGCAGCUAAUGCUUUUAUCGCGACCCUUGAUUCCACCCUAGCCUGAUUUUCGGCGACAAAUCAAGGCGCUUGUCCCGCCGGGAACGGUAAAUACGUUUUUCGACGCCCCCGCGUGAAAUAAUGCGUGCACGCACGCACGCGCGCGCGUGGCGUAGAGCGCAUAGCGCACACUUACGGGCGGCGACAAUACGCGCGAGCAAGCCUAUUUAGCGGAGGGUGAGAGACGAACCGAGUGGCGGAAGAAUGGCACUUUAUUAGUGUUUGCAAACGACGUUCCGCCGCAGCGAGAAGUUCCCCGUCUUCGGACGAUUUAUCAGACCAAGACAGCACCGUUUCGUUUCGCUAAAAUGGCGGUAUUCGGCCGUGAAAAGGUUACCAUUCACGCGUAGACUACAUCCGCCGUAAAUUUGCGACAGGUACAAACCGCACGGGAGGCGUCGUACAUUAUCACGGAUACGUAUGUCCAAAGCGCGAUAUCGCGUACUCAAUGUAUAGCUCGUGACAUUAAGAAUCUAUUCGACAGAUUGAUUAACAAAGAUUAAUUCUUUGAUAUUAGGAAACUGUAAAGAUUAUAAUACUGCACGUUUCACGGUUCUUGCUAAUUGUAUCUCGUCACUACAAUGACAUAUAAUCUAUUGUUAAGUUUACUUUAGACCACUUAUAAUUUGCGUAAAAAUUCAAAAUGGAAUUUACAAAUUUUUUGUCGUGUAUUAUAAAAAACAAAAAUUCUGAAUAUUAGAGUAAAAAUAAAGUUAAAAAAUUCUGAGUACAUAUAUAUAAAAUACAUAUAUAAAAUUGCACAUAGAAUUUUAUCUUCAAAUCUGAAUUAUAAAUAUAAAUUACAAAUUAUCUAAAAUAAACUUAAACAGUAGAUAAAUGAAUAACGUUGUUGUUUAAUGUUUGCAACUUCUAAACGGCUUGAUAGUUGAUUGGUUUUUGGUGCUUACUGCGAAUUGAUACUUUUUAUAUCGAAGAAUCGAUACCCGUGUGCGAGGCUACUGCCCGGGACGACAAUAACUUGUGAGGGCUUGCUACAGAACCUGAUGGGAAUUUGUGAAUCCGGAAAUUCGAUAUUAGCGAACAUUUAGAUCCACUAUUCAUAGAAAAUCCAUAUUGGAGCACAGAGAAUGACGGUGCCCACCGUUGCGUUCAACGUGUUAAAAAAUGAUACUGCAUCACACAAACUCGCCGAUUAGUGGAGUAUACGCUACGUUAAUCGGAUUUUCAGUAUACUGGCAAACCUCUAAACCGAUUCACUGGUGUAACUCUAACAAACCUAGAUUCGUUAAUAGUGAUUUUAAAUUAUUACGCAUUAAAGUGAUAAACAGUCUAAAAUGCAAAAGAGAAUUGUCCUGACGAGACUACACGCGACGUAAGGUAUUAUCAUCUUCCUCGAAUUAUUGGCCAUGGAAUCCGUGACGAAAUAUCGUUGGACCGACGCUUCCGUAGAGACAAAAUGCCCGAGAUUCGCGCUGUUCCGAGGUUUGCCACGUCAGUGACGAUGGCAGCACGUACCAUUCUAGGGAGUGCAUCACCCCCUCAAGUUCCAGGUUAGCGAGAGCUGUUCUAUAGACUCGAAGUAGGCGGCAGAGGAGGUAGGAGGUGGCUCGUAGGGACGAAGAGGGUAAGGGGGGAACAACGACGGCGGAAGAGCAGGAGCAGGAGGUGGAGGUGGAGGAGGAGGAGGAGAAGGACGAGGAAGAGGAGGAGAUGGAGGAUGGAGGAUGGAGGCACUCCAUCGCAGUCCGUCGCCUCGUCCAGAGGGUGGGAGUAGCCGGCGGCGGGGUGGUUUUGUCUUCCUUCGCCCAUCCUCCCUCCGCCACCCGCGCAACCACCUCCGCGUUACUCGAGUGCGCUUGCGCUCGCGGAUCACCCCGCGCAAGCCACCCUCUUCCUGCGCCGGCCCGUUUACGCUUCUAUCCCCUUCCCUCCCUCUGUAUCCCCCCGUGUGUCCUCUCGCGCGCCACCCCUCUAUUGAUUUUGUUACAAACCGGCUCCAUCCCAUCCCCUCCGGCCUCCCGACGUCACCCUCGCGCCGACCCUCGCAAAGUCCGUUGGAGCGAUACGCGCCGAUGCGUAUAUGUACGUUGAUAUAUAUAAAUAUAUAUUGUUUAUACAUAUUUCUCGUUGGCGUCGUCGUCGCUGUCGUCGUCAUCGUCGUCCUCAUCGUCGUCGUUUCUGGGCAACUCCGAAUUUCGAACACGCGACGUCAACGCGCUGCUACAAACCUCUCUUACGACCUGAGUUUAGUCAAUAAAAGUGGAAGUGUAGUGACCUGAAAAUUGCAAACGAUGGAUUUCAAAAACACUCAUGCGAAUCAUCCACGCUCAAUUGUAACGCACUCGACGCGGACGGGUGAACCCAUUAUAAGGGGGUGUUACUCCGGGCCAAUCCCCAACCAUCCGGAGAGAGAAACCAGAGAGGCGAGAGUCCAAGAAGGGCGCAUGUGCGUUGCUAGGGCCACCGGAUGGGUCGCGCGAUGCGAUGCGACGCGAUGCGACGCGAUGCGAUGCAACGCGAUGUGAUGCCGCGCGUAACGUCCGCCCGGUAUAUAUACCAGAUACUUGACAACGCAGAAAUAUCUCACAACGCAUCCAAGAAACACAAGUACGACAUUUACACUUUGUAGCUGGAUAUACGUAUAUCCAGAACAAAUGAAAUUUCUGUAGAGAUAUGCAAAUGUCCGAAAUGUAUUUAUUUCUUUAACAAAAAAUGGUUUAAUAAAUAAUUGUGUCAUGUAUUCCCUUUAUUUUUAAUUAACAAAAUCAUUAUAAGUGCAUUUUGAUCUUUCAAUAUAACUUUGAUUUUACAGUUGAUUAUUAAGAAAUAUUCAAAUAAAUGCUUUACACACACGCGCGCGC